GGCGACGUAGCCAAGUGGUAAGGCAGGGGUCUGCAAAACCCUUAUUCGUCGGUUCGAUUCCGACCGUCGCCUCCU
This 75-nucleotide transfer RNA is filed under the name Chloroflexota bacterium. RNAcentral's name for it is "tRNA-Cys". It matches the Rfam family "tRNA". From Rfam's summary of the family: Transfer RNA (tRNA) molecules are approximately 80 nucleotides in length. Their secondary structure includes four short double-helical elements and three loops (D, anti-codon, and T loops). Lineage: Bacteria; Bacillati; Chloroflexota. The record is from RNAcentral.